This 38-nucleotide ribosomal RNA is filed under the name Cytauxzoon sp. Its description in RNAcentral is "partial large subunit ribosomal RNA LSU5". Lineage: Eukaryota; Apicomplexa; Aconoidasida; Piroplasmida; Theileriidae. The record is from RNAcentral.
GUUCAUCAUAUUAAUAUGGUACGUGAGUUGGGUUAAGA